Molecule: ribosomal RNA, 276 nt
Filed under: uncultured bacterium
Lineage: Bacteria
Description: partial small subunit ribosomal RNA
Rfam family: Bacterial small subunit ribosomal RNA
Source: RNAcentral
AGAAUCAACGCUGGCGGCGUGCCUCAGACAUGCAAGUCGAACGCGAAAUCCCGAGCAAUCGGGAAAGUAGAGUGGCGCACGGGUGAGUAACACGUAGGUAAUCUACCUUCGGGUGGGGAAUAACAACCGGAAACGGUUGCUAAUACCGCAUAAUGCAGCGGCACCUAAUGGUGACAGUUGUUAAAGCGGGGGAUCGCAAGAUCUCGCGCCUGAAGAGGAGCCUGCGGCGGAUUAGCUAGUUGGUAGGGUAAUGGCCUACCAAGGCGACGAUCCGUA